This 174-nucleotide ribosomal RNA is filed under the name Triticum aestivum (bread wheat). RNAcentral describes it as "partial small subunit ribosomal RNA". Lineage: Eukaryota; Viridiplantae; Streptophyta; Magnoliopsida; Poales; Poaceae. The record is from RNAcentral.
GUUGCAGAACAAAAAUGCUGGGAAAAUACCUCUGGCAGUCCACUCUGUGUAGGCUUUCUAUGCCAGGCGACAUGCUCGAUUGCGGGCAAAAUGUUUAAUGCUGUCGUCAAGGAACACAAGUGCAUAGGGUCAUCAUUCAAUAGCCAAUGCUACUGCUAUCUCUGCGACAAAUAG